UACGGAGGAUCCAAGCGUUAUCCGGAUUUAUUGGGUUUAAAGGGUGCGUAGGCGGAUUGAUAAGUUAGAGGUGAAAUGUCCGAGCUCAACUCGGGAACUGCCUCUAAUACUGUUGAUCUAGAGAGUAGAUGCGGUAGGCGGAAUGUAUGGUGUAGCGGUGAAAUGCUUAGAGAUCAUACAGAACACCGAUUGCGAAGGCAGCUUACCAAUCUAUAUCUGACGUUGAGGCACGAAAGCGUGGGGAGCGAACAGG
This 253-nucleotide ribosomal RNA is filed under the name uncultured bacterium. Its description in RNAcentral is "partial 16S ribosomal RNA". It matches the Rfam family "Bacterial small subunit ribosomal RNA", at positions 524 to 776 of the family's 1533-position model. The record is from RNAcentral.